RNAcentral lists this ribosomal RNA (573 nucleotides) under Bacillus cereus. RNAcentral describes it as "bacterial SSU rRNA". It matches the Rfam family "Bacterial small subunit ribosomal RNA", at positions 76 to 631 of the family's 1533-position model. The record is from RNAcentral. Lineage: Bacteria; Bacillati; Bacillota; Bacilli; Caryophanales; Bacillaceae.
UAGCUUGCUCUUAUGAAGUUAGCGGCGUGACGGGUGAGUAACACGUGGGUAACCUGCCCAUAAGACUGGGAUAACUCCGGGAAACCGGGGCUAAUACCGGAUAACAUUUUGAACCGCAUGGUUCGAAAUUGAAAGGCGGCUUCGGCUGUCACUUAUGGAUGGACCCGCGUCGCAUUAGCUAGUUGGUGAGGUAACGGCUCACCAAGGCAACGAUGCGUAGCCGACCUGAGAGGGUGAUCGGCCACACUGGGACUGAGACACGGCCCAGACUCCUACGGGAGGCAGCAGUAGGGAAUCUUCCGCAAUGGACGAAAGUCUGACGGAGCAACGCCGCGUGAGUGAUGAAGGCUUUCGGGUCGUAAAACUCUGUUGUUAGGGAAGAACAAGUGCUAGUUGAAUAAGCUGGCACCUUGACGGUACCUAACCAGAAAGCCACGGCUAACUACGUGCCAGCAGCCGCGGUAAUACGUAGGUGGCAAGCGUUAUCCGGAAUUAUUGGGCGUAAAGCGCGCGCAGGUGGUUUCUUAAUUCUGAUGUGAAAGCCCACGGCUCAACCGUGGAGGGUCAUUGGAA